AUGUACGGAAGCNNGAUGAGAGUCGAGUGUGCCCGAAAGGGAGCCGUAACACAGGUGCUGCAUGGCUGUCGUCAGCUCGUGUCGUGAGAUGUUGGGUUAAGUCCCGCAACGAGCGCAACCCUUGUCACUAGUUGCUACGCAAGGGCACUCUAGUGAGACUGCCGGUGACAAACCGGAGGAAGGUGGGGAUGACGUCAAGUCCUCAUGGCCCUUAUGGGUAGGGCUUCACACGUCAUACAAUGGCGCAUACAGAGGGCUGCAACCCGCGAGGGGGAGCCAAUCCCAGAAAGUGCGUCGUAGUCCGGAUUGCAGCUGAACUCUACUGCAUGAAGUCCGAAUCUCUAGUUAUCGCGAUCAGCAUUUUCUGCGGUGAAUCGUUNCGGCCUUGACACACCGCCGUCACACCAUGGGAGUUGCUGCCCAUAACAGGUAGUCUAACCGCAAGGAGGACGCCUCCACGGGUGGUCAAUGACUGGGGUG
RNAcentral lists this ribosomal RNA (480 nucleotides) under uncultured bacterium. RNAcentral describes it as "bacterial SSU rRNA". It matches the Rfam family "Bacterial small subunit ribosomal RNA", at positions 986 to 1482 of the family's 1533-position model. The record is from RNAcentral.